CUUUAUAUGAGAGUUUGAUCCUGGCUCAGGACGAACGCUGGCGGCGUGCCUAAUACAUGCAAGUCGAACGCUUCCUACCGGUGCUUGCACCGGGAAAGAAGAGUGGCGGACGGGUGAGUAACACGUGGGUAACCUACCUACAAGCGGGGGAUAACAUUCGGAAACGGAUGCUAAUACCGCAUAGAUCUUUUUGUCUCCUGGCAGAAAGAAG
This 211-nucleotide ribosomal RNA is filed under the name Desemzia incerta. Its description in RNAcentral is "partial 16S rRNA. Bacterial SSU". It matches the Rfam family "Bacterial small subunit ribosomal RNA", at positions 1 to 203 of the family's 1533-position model. Lineage: Bacteria; Bacillati; Bacillota; Bacilli; Lactobacillales; Carnobacteriaceae. The record is from RNAcentral.